AGAGUUUGAUCAUGGCUCAGAUUGAACGCUGGCGGCAGGCCUAACACAUGCAAGUCGAGCGGUAGAGAGAAGCUUGCUUCUCUUGAGAGCGGCGGACGGGUGAGUAAUGCCUAGGAAUCAGCCUGGUAGUGGGGGAUAACGUUCGGAAACGGACGCUAAUACCGCAUACGUCCUACGGGAGAAAGCAGGGGACCUUCGGGCCUUGCGCUAUCAGAUGAGCCUAGGUCGGAUUAGCUAGUUGGUGAGGUAAUGGCUCACCAAGGCGACGAUCCGUAACUGGUCUGAGAGGAUGAUCAGUCACACUGGAACUGAGACACGGUCCAGACUCCUACGGGAGGCAGCAGUGGGGAAUAUUGGACAAUGGGCGAAAGCCUGAUCCAGCCAUGCCGCGUGUGUGAAGAAGGUCUUCGGAUUGUAAAGCACUUUAAGUUGGGAGGAAGGGUUGUAGAUUAAUACUCUGCAAUUUUGACGUUACCGACAGAAUAAGCACCGGCUAACUCUGUGCCAGCAGCCGCGGUAAUACAGAGGGUGCAAGCGUUAAUCGGAAUUACUGGGCGUAAAGCGCGCGUAGGUGGUUUGUUAAGUUGGAUGUGAAAUCCCCGGGCUCAACCUGGGAACUGCAUUCAAAACUGACUGACUAGAGUAUGGUAGAGGGUGGUGGAAUUUCCUGUGUAGCGGUGAAAUGCGUAGAUAUAGGAAGGAACACCAGUGGCGAAGGCGACCACCUGGACUAAUACUGACACUGAGGUGCGAAAGCGUGGGGAGCAAACAGGAUUAGAUACCCUGGUAGUCC
RNAcentral lists this ribosomal RNA (793 nucleotides) under uncultured bacterium. Its description in RNAcentral is "bacterial SSU rRNA". It matches the Rfam family "Bacterial small subunit ribosomal RNA", at positions 8 to 796 of the family's 1533-position model. The record is from RNAcentral.